AUGGCGCUCCUCUUCCUGGUGCUGGUCGGUGUUUUCGUCGGCGUGGUGCUGGCGAGCAGCCUCCUGCUGCGGUGGAACGAGGUCAGGUACGGCAACGGACCGAGGAAGGAGGGCGGGUGCUUGCCCCCGGGGAGAAUGGGGUGGCCGCUCUUGGGCGAGACCACCGACUUCCUCAAGCAGGGGCCCAGCUUCAUGAAGCAGAGAAGGCUCAGAACUCAACCGGAGAUGGAUGCCGGUCGCUGUUGCUGGGUCGAGAUGGAUGUUGCCGCCGGCGACGGCGUGGCCAGCUUUUGGAGGAGGAGGAGGAGCAUCAUUCUAGCUGCUUUGUCCCCCAAAACCUCACAUAACAACACGCCUCAUCACUGCCCCAGCUCCCAAAGGGAGGCUGUUCCGGACGCACAUCUUGGGCUGCCCGACGGUGGUGUCCAUGGACCCCGAGCUCAACCGCCGCAUGCUGCUGAGGGCGAGGCCGGCGGCCUGGUCCCGGGCUACCCGCAGUCCAUGCUCGACAUCCUCGGCCGCAACAACAUCGCCGCCGUGCACGGCCCGCUGCACCGCCACAUGCGCGGCGCAAUGCUCGGCCUCGUCGGCCCCGUCGCGCGCCGGCAAAGCCUCCUCCCCAAGAUCGACGCCUUCAUGCGCUCACAUACCUCCGGCUGGGCAGGCAGCGUCGUCGACGUCCAGGCCAAGACCAAGGAGAUGGCCUUGCUAUCUACACUCAGGCAGAUCGCCGGCAUCACGGCCGGCCCACUCUCCGACGCCCUCAAGGCAGAGCUGUAUACCCUUGUGCUCGGCACCAUCUCCUUGCCCAUCAACCUCCCAGGGACCAGCUACUACCAAGGCUUUCAGGCAAGGAAGAAGCUCGUGUCCAUUCUAGAGCAGAUGAUCACGGAACGGCGAUCCUCUGGUGAUGCUCAUGAUGACAUGUUGGAUGUUCUCUUGAGAAGCGGCGAUGACGGGACCAGGGAUAAGAUUAGCGACGAGCAGAUCAUUGACUUGCUCAUCGCCCUCAUCUACUCCGGAUACGAAACCAUGUCGACCACUUCGAUGAUGGCCGUCAAGUACCUAUCGGAACAUCCGCUGGCCCUCGAAGAACUUAGGAGAGAGCAUCUUGAUAUCAGGAAGGGAAAAUCGCCGGAUGAAGCCAUCAACUACGAUGAUUUCAAGUCCAUGGCCUUCACUCCAGCUGUCAUUUUUGAGACGCUAAGAUUAGCCACUGUUGUUAAUGGACUGCUGAGGAAAACUACAAAGGAUGUAGAAAUGAAUGGCUGGAGAAUCUAUGUUUACACAAGGGAGAUAAACUAUGAUCCGUUCAUGUAUCCUGACCUGAUGACCUUCAAUCCGUGGAGAUGGCUGGAGAAGAACAUGGAAUUGCACCCGCACUUCAUGUUGUUCGGAGGGGGCGGCCGGAUGUGCCCCGGGAAGGAGGUGGGAACUGUGGAGAUCACGACUUUCCUCCACUAUUUCGUGACCCGAUAUAGAUGGGAGGAAGAAGGCAAGAACACAAUCUUGAAAUUUCCCCGGGUGGAAGCUCCCAACGGCUGCAUAUCCGAGUUCAAGAUUACUGAACUCUUGCAACAAACAUUUUGCAGAGUUUAG
RNAcentral lists this ribosomal RNA (1599 nucleotides) under Triticum aestivum (bread wheat). RNAcentral describes it as "partial small subunit ribosomal RNA". Lineage: Eukaryota; Viridiplantae; Streptophyta; Magnoliopsida; Poales; Poaceae. The record is from RNAcentral.